CUUGCACCGAGAUUCAACAUGGAACGAGUGGCGGACGGGUGAGUAACACGUGGGUAACCUGCCCUUAAGUGGGGGAUAACAUUUGGAAACAGAUGCUAAUACCGCAUAGAUCCAAGAACCGCAUGGUUCUUGGCUGAAAGAUGGCGUAAGCUAUCGCUUUUGGAUGGACCCGCGGCGUAUUAGCUAGUUGGUGAGGUAAUGGCUCACCAAGGCGAUGAUACGUAGCCGAACUGAGAGGUUGAUCGGCCACAUUGGGACUGAGACACGGCCCAAACUCCUACGGGAGGCAGCAGUAGGGAAUCUUCCACAAUGGACGCAAGUCUGAUGGAGCAACGCCGCGUGAGUGAAGAAGGCUUUCGGGUCGUAAAACUCUGUUGUUGGAGAAGAAUGGUCGGCAGAGUAACUGUUGCCGGCGUGAC
Molecule: ribosomal RNA, 419 nt
Filed under: Lacticaseibacillus paracasei
Lineage: Bacteria; Bacillati; Bacillota; Bacilli; Lactobacillales; Lactobacillaceae
Description: bacterial SSU rRNA
Rfam family: Bacterial small subunit ribosomal RNA
Source: RNAcentral